CCCUUAGAUGUCCUGGGCCGCACGCGCGCUACACUGAUGCAUUCAACGAGUUCUACCUUGGCCGAGAGGCCUGGGCAAUCUUUUGAACCUGCAUCGUGAUAGGGAUAGAUUAUUGCAAUCAUUAAUCUUGAACGAGGAAUUCCUAGUAAACGCAGAUCAUCAAUCUGCAUUGAUUACGUCCCUGCCCUUUGUACACACCGCCCGUCGCACCUACCGAUUGAAUGGUCCGGUGAAGCCUCGGGAUUGUGGCGAGUUCCCUUUAUUGGGAGUUUGUCGCGAGAACUUGUCUAAACCUUAUCAUUUAGAGGAAGGUGAAGUCGUAACA
RNAcentral lists this ribosomal RNA (325 nucleotides) under uncultured eukaryote. RNAcentral describes it as "partial 18S ribosomal RNA". It matches the Rfam family "Eukaryotic small subunit ribosomal RNA", at positions 1470 to 1796 of the family's 1831-position model. The record is from RNAcentral.